This 94-nucleotide small nucleolar RNA is filed under the name Zygosaccharomyces rouxii. RNAcentral's name for it is "snR38". It matches the Rfam family "Small nucleolar RNA R38". Rfam says of the family: snoR38 is a C/D box small nucleolar RNA conserved across yeast, human, Arabidopsis and rice. It is encoded in the intron of elongation factor-1 gamma in both pombe and cerevisiae. snoR38 guides the methylation of 2'-O-ribose sites in 28S rRNA. Lineage: Eukaryota; Fungi; Ascomycota; Saccharomycetes; Saccharomycetales; Saccharomycetaceae. The record is from RNAcentral.
GCUAAUUGUAUGAUGAGAAACCUUUUAUCAAUAUACAGUUAUCCCUGUCUGAAUGACAAAUAUGUCGAGAUUUAUUAUACUCUGAUCAACUAGC